Molecule: ribosomal RNA, 497 nt
Filed under: uncultured bacterium
Lineage: Bacteria
Description: partial 16S ribosomal RNA
Rfam family: Bacterial small subunit ribosomal RNA
Source: RNAcentral
GAUGAACGCUGGCGGUGUGCCCAAUACAUGCAAGUCGAGCGAACAGACGAGGAGCUUACUCCUCUGACGUUAGCGGCGGACGGGUGAGUAACACGUGGAUAACCUACCUAUAAGACUGGGAUAACUUCGGGAAACCGGAGCUAAUACCGGAUAACAUGUUGAACCGCAUGGUUCAACAGUGAAAGACGGUCUUGCUGUCACUUAUAGAUGGAUCCGCGUCGCAUUAGCUAGUUGGUAAGGUAACGGCUUACCAAGGCAACGAUGCGUAGCCGACCUGAGAGGGUGAUCGGCCACACUGGAACUGAGACACGGUCCAGACUCCUACGGGAGGCAGCAGUAGGGAAUCUUCCGCAAUGGGCGAAAGCCUGACGGAGCAACGCCGCGUGAGUGAAGAAGGUCUUCGGAUCGUAAAACUCUGUUAUUAGGGAAGAACAAAUGUGUAAGUAACUAUGCACGUCUUGACGGUACCUAAUCAGAAAGCCACGGCUAACUACGUG